UGCAUAGCUCAGCUGGUCAGAGCAUGGUGCUAGUAACACCAAGGUUGCAGGUUCGAUCCCUGUAUUGGGACAG
RNAcentral lists this transfer RNA (73 nucleotides) under Podarcis lilfordi (Lilford's wall lizard). Its description in RNAcentral is "tRNA.Thr". The stretch from base 5 to 63 matches the Rfam family "tRNA", at positions 8 to 63 of the family's 71-position model. Rfam says of the family: Transfer RNA (tRNA) molecules are approximately 80 nucleotides in length. Their secondary structure includes four short double-helical elements and three loops (D, anti-codon, and T loops). Further hydrogen bonds mediate the characteristic L-shaped molecular structure. tRNAs have two regions of fundamental functional importance: the anti-codon, which is responsible for specific mRNA codon recognition, and the 3' end, to which the tRNAs corresponding amino acid is attached (by aminoacyl-tRNA synthetases). tRNAs cope with the degeneracy of the genetic code in two manners: having more than one tRNA (with a specific anti-codon) for a particular amino acid; and 'wobble' base-pairing, i.e. permitting non-standard base-pairing at the 3rd anti-codon position. Lineage: Eukaryota; Metazoa; Chordata; Lepidosauria; Squamata; Lacertidae. The record is from RNAcentral.